RNAcentral lists this transfer RNA (62 nucleotides) under Dipodomys ordii (Ord's kangaroo rat). It matches the Rfam family "tRNA", at positions 6 to 65 of the family's 71-position model. From Rfam's summary of the family: Transfer RNA (tRNA) molecules are approximately 80 nucleotides in length. Their secondary structure includes four short double-helical elements and three loops (D, anti-codon, and T loops). Further hydrogen bonds mediate the characteristic L-shaped molecular structure. tRNAs have two regions of fundamental functional importance: the anti-codon, which is responsible for specific mRNA codon recognition, and the 3' end, to which the tRNAs corresponding amino acid is attached (by aminoacyl-tRNA synthetases). tRNAs cope with the degeneracy of the genetic code in two manners: having more than one tRNA (with a specific anti-codon) for a particular amino acid; and 'wobble' base-pairing, i.e. permitting non-standard base-pairing at the 3rd anti-codon position. Lineage: Eukaryota; Metazoa; Chordata; Mammalia; Rodentia; Heteromyidae. The record is from Rfam by way of RNAcentral.
UAUAGCUCAAGUGGUAGAACACCUGCCUAGGAAGUAGGAGGUCCUGAGUUCAAACCUCAGUA